GAUGAACGCUGGCGGCGUGCCUAAUACAUGCAAGUCGAGCGAACAGACGAGGAGCUUGCUCCUCUGACGUUAGCGGCGGACGGGUGAGUAACACGUGGAUAACCUACCUAUAAGACUGGGAUAACUUCGGGAAACCGGAGCUAAUACCGGAUAAUAUAUUGAACCGCAUGGUUCAAUAGUGAAAGACGGUUUUGCUGUCACUUAUAGAUGGAUCCGCGCCGCAUUAGCUAGUUGGUAAGGUAACGGCUUACCAAGGCAACGAUGCGUAGCCGACCUGAGAGGGUGAACCGCCACACUGGAACUGAGACACGGUCCAGACUCCUACGGGAGGCAGCAGUAGGGAAUCUUCCGCAAUGGGCGAAAGCUUGACGGAGCAACGCCGCGUGAGUGAUGAAGGUCUUCGGAUCGUAAAACUCUGUUAUUAGGGAAGAACAAAUGUGUAAGUAACUAUGCACGUCUUGACGGUACCUAAUCAGAAAGCCACGGCUAACUACGCG
This 497-nucleotide ribosomal RNA is filed under the name uncultured bacterium. RNAcentral's name for it is "partial 16S ribosomal RNA". It matches the Rfam family "Bacterial small subunit ribosomal RNA", at positions 28 to 507 of the family's 1533-position model. The record is from RNAcentral.